UGAGGAAUAUUCCACAAUGGGCGAAAGCCUGAUGGAGCGACGCCGCGUGAGGGAAGAAGCCUUUCGGGGUGUAAACCUCUUUUAUGGGGGAUGACACGCUCUCUUUCCAACUUCUCGCAAGAGGAGGGAAGGAAGGGAACUAGGACAGUACCCCGUGAAUAAGCCUCGGCUAACUACGUGCCAGCAGCCGCGGUAAUACGUAGGAGGCGAGCGUUGUCCGGAUUUACUGGGCGUAAAGAGCGCGCAGGCGGCACGCUAAGUACUUUGUGAAAUCUCCCUGCUCAACGGGGAGGGAGCAGAGUAGACUGGCGAGCUAGAGGACGGUAGAGGGGGGUAGAACUGCUGGUGUAGCGGUGAAAUGCGUAGAGAUCAGCAAGAAUACCCGUGGCGAAGGCGGCCCCCUGGGCCGAACCUGACGCUGAGGCGCGAAGGCUAGGGGAGCGAACGGGAUUAGAUACCCCCGUAGUCC
Molecule: ribosomal RNA, 469 nt
Filed under: uncultured bacterium
Lineage: Bacteria
Description: bacterial SSU rRNA
Rfam family: Bacterial small subunit ribosomal RNA
Source: RNAcentral